This 882-nucleotide ribosomal RNA is filed under the name uncultured bacterium. Its description in RNAcentral is "bacterial SSU rRNA". It matches the Rfam family "Bacterial small subunit ribosomal RNA", at positions 529 to 1399 of the family's 1533-position model. The record is from RNAcentral.
AGGGGCCAGGCGUUAUCCUGCAUUACUGGGUGUAAAAGGGAAGCGUAGGACUGGUGAUCAGUCAUGAAAGUGAGAACACCACGGGCUUCAACUUCGGGGACUGCUUUGUAUACUGAGUAGCUAGAGUGCAGGAGGAGGUGGAGGCGGAAUCCUAGUGUAGCGGUGGAAUGACGUAGAUAUUAGGAGGAAGACCAGUGGCGAAGGCGGCGUACUGGACUGUAACUGACGUUGAGGCUCGAAAGCGUGGGGAGCAAACACGAAUAGAUACCCUGGUAGUCCACGCCGUAAACGAUGAGUACUAGGUGUCAGGGGGCAAAGCUCUUUGUUGGCGCAGCAAACGCAAUAAGUAUUCCACCUGGGGAGUACGUUCGCAAGAAUGAAACUCAAAGGAAUAGACGGGGACCCGCACAAGCGGUGGAGCAUGUGGUUUAAUUUGAAGCAACGCGAAGAACCUUACCAAGUCUUGACAUCCCUCUGACGAGGAAGUAACGUUCCUUUUCUUUCUGGACAGAGGAGACAGGUGGUGCAUGGUUGUCGUCAGCUCGUGUCGUGAGAUGUUGGGUUAAGUCCCGCAACGAGCGCAACCCUUACCUUCAGUAGCCAGCGAGUAAAGUCGGGCACUCUGGAGUGACUGCCAGGGAUAACCUGGAGGAAGGUGGGGAGGACGUCAAAUCAUCAUGCCCCUUAUGAUUUGGGGUACACACGUGCUACAAUGGCGUAAACAAAGGGAAGGGAAGCCGUGAGGUGAAGCAAAUCCCAAAAAAAACGUCUCAGUUCGGAUUGUAGUUUGCAACUCGACUACAUGAAGCUGGAAUCGCUAGUAAUCGCGAAUCAGAAUGUCGCGGUGAAUACGUUCCCGGGUCUUGUACACACCGCCCGUCA